Molecule: ribosomal RNA, 591 nt
Filed under: uncultured bacterium
Lineage: Bacteria
Description: partial 16S ribosomal RNA
Rfam family: Bacterial small subunit ribosomal RNA
Source: RNAcentral
UGGGGAAUUUUGGACAAUGGGCGAAAGCCUGAUCCAGCAAUGCCGCGUGUGUGAAGAAGGCCUUCGGGUUGUAAAGCACUUUUGUCCGGAAAGAGAUCCUUGGCUCUAAUACAGUCGGGGGAUGACGGUACCGGAAGAAUAAGCACCGGCUAACUACGUGCCAGCAGCCGCGGUAAUACGUAGGGUGCAAGCGUUAAUCGGAAUUACUGGGCGUAAAGCGUGCGCAGGCGGUUUGCUAAGACCGAUGUGAAAUCCCCGGGCUCAACCUGGGAACUGCAUUGGUGACUGGCAGGCUAGAGUAUGGCAGAGGGGGGUAGAAUUCCACGUGUAGCAGGUGAAAUGCGUAGAGAUGUGGAGGAAUACCGAUGGCGAAGGCAGCCCCCUGGGCCAAUACUGACGCUCAUGCACGAAAGCGUGGGGAGCAAAACAGGAUUAGAUACCCUGGUAGUCCACGCCCUAAACGAUGUCAACUAGUUGUUGGGGGAUUCAUUUUCCUUAGUAACGUAGCUAACGCGUGAAGUUGACCGCCUGGGGAGUACGGUCGCAAGAUUAAAACUCAAAAUGAAUUGACGGGGUCAUAGCUGUUUCCUG